Molecule: ribosomal RNA, 805 nt
Filed under: uncultured archaeon
Lineage: Archaea
Description: bacterial SSU rRNA
Rfam family: Archaeal small subunit ribosomal RNA
Source: RNAcentral
ACGGCUCAGUAACACGUGGCUAACCUACCCUCAGGACGAGGAUAACCCCGGGAAACUGGGGCUAAUAUUCGAUAGGUGAGGAUGCCUGGAAUGGUUUCUCACUCAAAGGGCUUUAGAUACAUGCUUCUAACGUCGCCUGGGGAUGGGGCCGCGACCGAUCAGGUUGUUGGUGAGGUAAUGGCUCACCAAGCCUAUAACCGGUACGGGCCGUGAGAGCGGUAGCCCGGAGAUGGGUACUGAGACAAGGACCCAGGCCUACGGGGCGCAGCAGUCGCGAAAACUCCGCAAUGCACGAAAGUGUGACGGGGCUACCCCGAGUGCCAUCCGCUGAGGGUGGCUUUUCUUUGGUAUAACUAGCCAGGGGAAUAAGGAGAGGGCAAGACUGGUGUCAGCCGCCGCGGUAAUACCAGCUCUCCGAGUGGUAGGGAUGAUUAUUGGGCUUAAAGCGUCCGUAGCCUGCUUAGCAAGUCUCCUGUUAAAUUCAGCGACCUAAUCGUUGAGCCGCGGGAGAUACUACUAGGCUAGGAGGCGGGAGAGGUCGACGGUACUUCUGGGGUAGGGGUGAAAUCCUAUAAUCCCAGGAGGACCACCAGUGGCGAAGGCUGUCGGCUAGAACGCGCUCGACGGUGAGGGACGAAAGCUGGGGGAGCGAACCGGAUUAGAUACCCGGGUAGUCCCAGCCGUAAACGAUGCGGGCUAGGUGUUGGGGUGGCUACGGGCCACUCCAGUGCCGCAGGGAAGCCAUUAAGCACGCCGCCUGGGGAGUACGGCCGCAAGGCUGAAACUUAAAGGAAUUGGCGGGGGA